Molecule: ribosomal RNA, 266 nt
Filed under: uncultured bacterium
Lineage: Bacteria
Description: partial 16S ribosomal RNA
Rfam family: Bacterial small subunit ribosomal RNA
Source: RNAcentral
GUCCACGCCGUAAACGAUGAGUACUAGCUGUCGGAGGUUACCCCCUUCGGUGGCGCAGCUAACGCAUUAAGUACUCCGCCUGGGAAGUACGCUCGCAAGAGUGAAACUCAAAAGGAAUUGACGGGGGACCCCGCACAAGUAGCGGAGCAUGUGGUUUAAUUCGAAGCAACGCGAAGAACCUUACCUAAGCUUGACAUCCUUCUGACCUCUCCCUAAUCGGAGAUUUCCCUCGGGGACAGAAGUGACAGGUGGUGCAUGGUUGUCGU